Molecule: ribosomal RNA, 1232 nt
Filed under: metagenome
Description: SSU rRNA
Rfam family: Eukaryotic small subunit ribosomal RNA
Source: RNAcentral
AGUCUGGUGCCAGCAGCCGCGGUAAUUCCAGCUCCAAUAGUGUAUAUUAAAGUUGUUGCAGUUAAAAAGCUCGUAGUUGGAUGUCGGUUACUGUUAUGAGUGUCCACACUCUGUGUGUGCGUACACGAAUACAGAACCUUCUUUCUGGUAGUGAUCUUGUAUUGCUCCAGAUAUUUUACUUUGAGAAAAUUAGAGUGUUCAAAGCAGGCGUAACAUUGCCUUUGAAUAUAUUAGCAUGGGAUAAUGAAAUAAGACUAUUGCCUUAUUCUCGUUGGUUCUUUUAGGCUUAAGUAAUGAUUAGUAGGGACAGUUGGGGUUAUCUGUAUUUGAUCGCCAGAGGUGAAAUUCUAAGACUGAUCAAAGACAAACUACUGCGAAAGCAUUUAACAAGGAUGUUUUCAUUAAUCAAGAACGAAAGUUGGGGGAUCGAAGAUGAUCAGAUACCGUCGUAGUCCCAACCAUAAACUAUGUCGACCAAGGAUUCGAGAUCGUUAAAUGAAUGACCUCUCGGGCACUUAUAGAGAAAUCAUAAGUAUUUGGAUUCCGGGGGGAGUAUGGUCGCAAGGCUGAAACUUAAAGAAAUUGACGGAAGGGCACCACAAGGAGUGGAAUAUGCGGUUUAAUUUGACCCAACACGGGAAAACUUACCAGGUCCAGACACAAGGAGGAUUGACAGAUUGAGAGCUCUUUCUUAAUUUUGUGGGUGGUGGUGCAUGGCCGUUUCUAGUUGGUGGAGUGAUUUGUCUGGUUAAUUCCGUUAACGAACGAGACCUUAACCUAUUAAAUAGUAACAUCUACUUGGAUAAUUUACUUCCAAUAGUAGGUGGUUUACUUCUUAGAGGUACUCUUCACGUAAAGAGUGAAUGGAAGUUUGAGGCAAAAACAGGUCUGUGAUGCCCUUAGAUGUUCUGGGCUACACGCGUGUUACACUGAUACAUUCAACAAGUAUAAUAUUCCUUACUCUAGUGAGUCGGGUAAUCUUUUAAAUAUGUAUCGUGAUGGGGAUAGAGCAUUGUAAUUUUUGCUCUUGAACGAGGAAUUCCUAGUAAGUGCAAGUCAUUAACUUGCGCUGAUUACGUCCCUGCCCUUUGUACACACCGCCCGUCGCUCCUACCGAUGAAUGGUCCGGUGAGGAUUCGGGAUGACCUUUGAUGCUGAUCUAAUCACAUCACUGAUUGUCAGAACUUAUUCAAACCUUAUCAUUUAAAGGAAGGAGAAGUCGUAACAAGGUU